Long non-coding RNA from Heterocephalus glaber (naked mole-rat), 1586 nucleotides. NCBI's taxonomy places the organism in Eukaryota, Metazoa, Chordata, Mammalia, Rodentia, Bathyergidae. The record is from Ensembl.
GGACAUUUAAGGCUGUUCCUAGUGGCAAUGGGGCUGGCUCAGCACAUCCGUUGUCAGUCACUUUCUCUUUUCUAAGUACUUUCUGUGCCAUUUAAGCAGACGAUGGUGACACUGGUGUUAAGCGUGCGACUUCUACAGCCUACACUGCCGGCAUAGGGAGGGACCCAGGAGGUUGCAAGGUGUUUUAAUGUCCUUCCUCUCUUGCCAGCACUACUUUUUGCUCUUGCGUUUUGUUUUGUUUUGUUUUGCAAAAGAGGCAACAGCGAUCUGCAGACUCUGCUUUCUGCCUUGUACCAGAGAGCCACAGUAUAUGUUCGAUCAUGUAACACACUGGUGUUUAGUUCAUUCUUGCUGCGAAAGAAGGCCAUUGUACUUCCUGACCCCAAAAGCAAGUUAGCACAACUGAACUGUGGGGCGUGUGGCCAAUGCUGAGGCUGAGGAGAGAGAGAUGGGCGUCAGGGGGAUGUGGCCAGGAGGAAAUAAGAGCAAAUUCCUCCAAAACGCUCUGACAGGAAAUGACAGAGUAUCAGUCUCCUACCACUCCACUCGGCCGCUUCUGGAGGGAAAAAGGCCUUCCUAAUCACGGAGCGGAGCCAGAGCGCAGUAGGGACGGUGGCUGCUACAUGCAGUUUCAGAUCAAUCUGCUAUCGUCACUGUGCCUGAGACCCAAAUAAUUUCUCUGUCAACUCUGGACACUUUGAAGGUAAUAUCAUGACCCCAGGGGACUGUGGUGAAAGAGAGGAAUGCUGGAUCUUCUCUUCUGGAACAGACAUUGCAGAGGAAGAGAUGGAUGAUGAACAGAGAGAAAACAAAAUUUUAAAAAUGAGAAAAAGAUUUCAAAGAAAAUGUGGGAGUCCAUGGAGAGAGCUGGACAGAACGGCAAAGACAUUGAGAACACGGGAUUAUCAGAGUGAGAGGAAGGUGUGGUGGCCGGAGCUGCAGCAGCCUAAGGAGCAGAGAGGACGCCAGGAUCAGAAGGAUGUCACCGGGAAGCCACAGGCUGUGUUGAGUGGUAGCCAGUGGUGACGGUGGUGGCAGGCCUUGAAUACAGAGUUUACUGUAGGGAAGGAAGACCACUAACAGUUUUGGGUAGGAGAAUGAUGUCAUAAAAAUGGCUUUUUAUGAGGAUUAGUCAAGUGGUGUGUGAGAAAAAGUAGCUCUUUGUUGGCAAAGACACAAGUGCUAUGCCCAUAGCAUAGCAAUUGUCUAAGCAUGAGGAAGUGCUAAUACUGCUCAAGAGAGUGUACAACCACAAGGAUUUAAUAAUUCUCUGGUGAAUUAGGAAAACUAUUUUUAAAUGUCCCAAAGUAUUCAAACAAUCAGCCACAGCUGCUUUCCUUUCUCAAAAAUAACUCAGAAUUAAACUUGGCUCUCAACACACAUGAAAAACAAAAUUAGUUAAUUAUGUAAAAUCCAGGGCAAUACCUUACAUUUAAUAGGUGCUUAAUAAAUUUUUCUUGUAAUGUUGGUGAAAAUAUUAUCCAAUUCAAGCAAGAAAAAAACAUAUUUCUCUAGAUAUCUAGCACUUAUAGAUGUCAAUAUCCUUGUUAAAUUACAAUUCAGAAAAUUGCUUUGAUUGUUCUACC